This 456-nucleotide ribosomal RNA is filed under the name uncultured bacterium. RNAcentral describes it as "bacterial SSU rRNA". It matches the Rfam family "Bacterial small subunit ribosomal RNA", at positions 340 to 786 of the family's 1533-position model. The record is from RNAcentral.
UACGGAAGGCAGCAGUGGGGAAUAUUGCACAAUGGGCGAAAGCCUGAUGCAGCUAUGCCGCGUGUAUGAAGAAGGCCUUAGGGUUGUAAAGUACUUUCAUCGGGGAGGAAAAAACAAAACUAAUAAUUUUAUUUCUUGACGUUACCCGAAAAAGAAGCACCGGCUAACUCCGUGCCAGCAGCCGCGGUAAUACGGAGGGUGCUAGCGUUAAUCAGAAUUACUGGGCGUAAAGAGCACGUAGGUGGUUUUUUUAAGUCAGAUGUGAAAUCCCUGGGCUUAACCUAGGAACUGCAUUUUGAAACUGAAAUACUAGAGUAUCGUAGAGGGAGGUAGAAUUCUAGGUGUAGCGGUGAAAUGCGUAGAUAUCUGGAGGAAUACCUGUGGCGAAAGCGGCCUCCUAAACGAAUACUGACACUGAGGUGCGAAAGCGUGGGGAGCAAACGAGGAUUAGAUACC